This 466-nucleotide ribosomal RNA is filed under the name uncultured bacterium. RNAcentral's name for it is "partial 16S ribosomal RNA". It matches the Rfam family "Bacterial small subunit ribosomal RNA", at positions 28 to 507 of the family's 1533-position model. The record is from RNAcentral.
GACGAACGCUGGCGGCGUGCUUAACACAUGCAAGUCGAACGGAAAGGCCCUGCUUGCAGGGUCCUCGAGUGGCGAACGGGUGAGUAACACGUGGGUGAUCUGCCCUGCACUUCGGGAUAAGCUUGGGAAACUGGGUCUAAUACCGGAUAGGAACCAUCUUUAGUGUGGUGGUUGGAAAGUUUUUUCGGUGUAGGAUGAGCUCGCGGCCUAUCAGCUUGUUGGUGGGGUAAUGGCCUACCAAGGCGGCGACGGGUAGCCGGCCUGAGAGGGUGUACGGCCACAUUGGGACUGAGAUACGGCCCAGACUCCUACGGGAGGCAGCAGUGGGGAAUAUUGCACAAUGGGCGCAAGCCUGAUGCAGCGACGCCGCGUGGGGGAUGAAGGCCUUCGGGUUGUAAACUCCUUUCGCUAGGGACGAAGCUUUGUUGUGACGGUACCUAGAUAAGAAGCACCGGCUAACUACGUG